This 1226-nucleotide ribosomal RNA is filed under the name Campylobacter jejuni. RNAcentral describes it as "partial 23S ribosomal RNA". It matches the Rfam family "Bacterial large subunit ribosomal RNA", at positions 1711 to 2925 of the family's 2925-position model. The record is from RNAcentral. Lineage: Bacteria; Pseudomonadati; Campylobacterota; Epsilonproteobacteria; Campylobacterales; Campylobacteraceae.
AACUCUGCAAAAUAGCACCGUAUCUUCGGUAUAAGGUGUGGUUAGCUUUGUAUUAGGAUUUACUCCGAAAGCAAGGAAACUUACAACAAAGAGUCCCUCCCGACUGUUUACCAAAAACACAGCACUCUGCUAACUCGUAAGAGGAUGUAUAGGGUGUGACGCCUGCCCGGUGCUCGAAGGUUAAUUGAUGGGGUUAGCAUUAGCGAAGCUCUUGAUCGAAGCCCGAGUAAACGGCGGCCGUAACUAUAACGGUCCUAAGGUAGCGAAAUUCCUUGUCGGUUAAAUACCGACCUGCAUGAAUGGCGUAACGAGAUGGGAGCUGUCUCAAAGAGGGAUCCAGUGAAAUUGUAGUGGAGGUGAAAAUUCCUCCUACCCGCGGCAAGACGGAAAGACCCCGUGGACCUUUACUACAGCUUGACACUGCUACUUGGAUAAGAAUGUGCAGGAUAGGUGGGAGGCUUUGAGUAUAUGACGCCAGUUGUAUAUGAGCCAUUGUUGAGAUACCACUCUUUCUUAUUUGGGUAGCUAACCAGCUUGAGUUAUCCUCAAGUGGGACAAUGUCUGGUGGGUAGUUUGACUGGGGCGGUCGCCUCCCAAAUAAUAACGGAGGCUUACAAAGGUUGGCUCAGAACGGUUGGAAAUCGUUCGUAGAGUAUAAAGGUAUAAGCCAGCUUAACUGCAAGACAUACAAGUCAAGCAGAGACGAAAGUCGGUCUUAGUGAUCCGGUGGUUCUGUGUGGAAGGGCCAUCGCUCAAAGGAUAAAAGGUACCCCGGGGAUAACAGGCUGAUCUCCCCCAAGAGCUCACAUCGACGGGGAGGUUUGGCACCUCGAUGUCGGCUCAUCGCAUCCUGGGGCUGGAGCAGGUCCCAAGGGUAUGGCUGUUCGCCAUUUAAAGCGGUACGCGAGCUGGGUUCAGAACGUCGUGAGACAGUUCGGUCCCUAUCUGCCGUGGGCGUAAGAAGAUUGAAGAGAUUUGACCCUAGUACGAGAGGACCGGGUUGAACAAACCACUGGUGUAGCUGUUGUUCUGCCAAGAGCAUCGCAGCGUAGCUAAGUUUGGAAAGGAUAAACGCUGAAAGCAUCUAAGCGUGAAGCCAACUCUAAGAUGAAUCUUCUCUAAGCUCUCUAGAAGACUACUAGUUUGAUAGGCUGGGUGUGUAAUGGAUGAAAGUCCUUUAGCUGACCAGUACUAAUAGAGCGUUUGGCUUAUCUUUAAUAAAGCAU